Non-coding RNA from Monodelphis domestica (gray short-tailed opossum), 1002 nucleotides. Lineage: Eukaryota; Metazoa; Chordata; Mammalia; Didelphimorphia; Didelphidae. The record is from RefSeq and is a predicted model, not a curated record.
CAUCCACCUCCCACCCCCCCAAGUCUUAAAGAGGCCCAGAGUUAUUAGAUUUGGCUAACUCCCUUCCCAGCUGCCCCCCAGCCCUUCCCCCCAUCCUCCAAAGGAGGCUUCUUUCUGGGACUGCAGGAACAGAGAGACGGCAAUGGGGCAUCCAGGGCUUUACCCAGGGCUGGGCUGCCCUCGGGCUCCUCCGCUGGGUCGCUGCCCUCCUCCAGAGCCCCAGGGUAAGCACCUUCACCAUCCAGAAGUUCCUUUUGCUGGUUCUGUCGUUUGUGCUUCAUUCGUCGAUUCUGGAACCACACUUUGACCUGCCUCUCAGUCAAGUCCAGCAGCGCCGCUAUCUCCACUCGGCGGGGCCGGCACAGGAUCUGGAGGGAUGUAUCUACAGUUCAUGCAGCAUUCUCACAAUCAGAAGAAAAGGCGAGAUCCCUCUCUUAACUAAUCCUGUCUGACUUCGAGUCACCCCCAUUUUCACUCCCAUAGAUAGUUCUGCCAACUCUAAAAUUCUUCCACUGCUCUUAGGCACCUAGUUGUGAGGUGAGGUGAAGUAAGGGGGGGGGGCAGAUUCUCCUUUCCCUUCCCCCAGACUCAAUUCUUACUGCUCUCCCCAUCCCCAUCCCCCAAUAUACCAGGCUUACACUCUCACCCCGAAAAAUGCAAAAGCAAAUAAAAUCUCCCCCCCCCCUUCUUCAUAGCAGAAAAACAAACAAAGACAUCCAAAGGAAAAGUAACCUUAAAAGCAUCCUCCAAAACCUCCCAGGAUUGGGAUGGAGGAAAACUAAUCAUCCAGGCCCCGACUUUUCAUUCUACUCCCUGGUCUGUGGUAUAGACCCGAACCGCUCUGUCCUGCUCCAGAAGUCUACCCUAGGUCUAUAUCUACCCUUCUACAUCUCCCCAGUCCCAUCAAACUCUCUAGCCCACGCCCCCCAGUUCACUGUACAGACCUGCGGGCGAUCCAGCUCCAGAGGCCGGCACUGUGGAGGAAGCUGGGGCAGGGGAGGA